GUUUUAUUGCUCGCGAAUUUGCAAUAACUGCAUUUAUCAGGCAUCACACGUUACGUCACACGCUUAUGCUUGUAUCUGCGGUCCCUCGCGCUGUAUCCAUGAUUUAAAGCGGAAUAAAACUCUUAACUCCUUUGUAAGGAAAAAGUCAAACAGUGUAAGUUGUUGGCAUGUGCUAUUUGAAUUGAAAUGAAGUGUAAUGGUAUUAUUUUGCUUACUUCUCUUGAUGAAUAAUUAGCAAGUUUAAUGGAACUUGAAAAUAUUAGUUAUCCAGACAAAUGUGCUCUUGUUUUCAGUGUAUUUUUAUAACUCUUUUGUAAUGUCUUUGUUAUCAGAGCCCUUCAAAUUAAAAAUAGUGAUGGUGAUCUUGUCAAUGCUGAGAUUUUAAUGCAUCAACAGCCAUUACAUCUGGCUGGAUCAGGAUUGAACAAGAAUCAGACAGCAAGGGUUGUCACAUCAGAAACGUAAUAACACAAACAUAAGAAACUUCACAGGGCUGUGACAGUGACAGUAUUUUACCACCGCGAUGGUAAUGCACCAAUUCACCACUGUGGUGCGGUGGUUAUAGAAUGUGUUUGUGUGAGGGGGGAGGCGGCAAUUUCUUUUUCCGCCGGUGGGUGCUCAUCACAACCUCAAGCUUUACUUCGCAAUGACAGGUGCUCUAGAGUCUGGAGCGCUCAAAGGCUUUGAAGAGGUGGAAAGUGGCGCAGUCACGUUUUCGUGUGAAUUGUGAAGUUAAAGGCAGAUCACCGUGCAACUUGGUGAAGUCAUGUGUCUUUCCAGAUGGCCAAAUCUGUACCCCUCAAAAAAACUUUAUUAAAUGCCAUGAUAGACAAGAUGAGCCUUAAGAGGAGAUUUGGGAAGAUGCUGUUUCAUAAGUCUUUGCUUUGCCAGAUUAUUUGUGGUUGGGGUGUCUGCCAACGUGAUGCCUUGCUGGUCUGGUUUGAGUUUGAAGUCUCUCACAGACAGUCCAGAAGGUCUGGAGUCCAUCUUAGCUUUCAUUGGUAAGUGACUGCACAAGAGGCUGUUUGACCCACACGUAAGAUGCUGUCAUCAUUUUUUAAGUGCAUGAGCCAGAAUGGACGGGUGGUGGUGGCCAUAAGAAGACUGUCAACUAAACUAGGGUGACCAUACGUGCCCUUCUUCCCGGACCCGUCCUGUCCAGUCUUUUGGAACUCGUAUUUGUCGACCGCAUACGUCACAGAGGAUUAUUAUUAUUAUUACAGAAAAGCAACCGUUACAUUUUAAGGUAAGAAGAAUGAAACUACGAUUGUAUAUCUUAUGUUUUUAACUGAAUGGCGUAUGCGGUCAACAAAUAUGACUUCCGGAAGACGCACCGAAAUCCUGGACGGGAUGCGUCCGGGAAGAAUGGCACGUAUGGUCACCCUAACUAAACCAACAACAAAAUUCAUAUUUGCAGUUAUAAAUAAAAUGACUUUUAAACCUGAUUUUGUUUUCUUAUUUUAUGAUUUCAUUCUAUAUUUGGAAUAUUCCAUUUUUGCACUACUAACUGGAAACUGUUUGAAAGAAUGUGUUUUUAUUAAAAGACAAAUUUCAAAGGUGAAUCAUAUGCCGGCUGGGAUAUCAAAAUAGCAUUAAAAUGACAUCAACAUCAUAACAUCCUGAUAUCAAAUAGAUGUAGAAUUGACAUCAAAAUGACAUCAGCAGGGGUCAAAAUCUUGACAUCAAAUUGACAUCAACACUUUGACGUCAAAAUGACUUUCAUUUUUGACCUAUUCUGUGACGUAAUUUUGACGUCGAUGUUUGAUGUCAAAUUGAUGUUAAAUUGACAUCAAAUGCCCGCUGGGA
Non-coding RNA from Paramisgurnus dabryanus, 1806 nucleotides. The record is from RefSeq and is a predicted model, not a curated record. NCBI's taxonomy places the organism in Eukaryota, Metazoa, Chordata, Actinopteri, Cypriniformes, Cobitidae.